UACGGAGGGUGCGAGCGUUGUUCGGAAUUACUGGGCGUAAAGCGCGUGUAGGCGGCCUGCUAAGUCUGAUGUGAAAGCCCGAGGCUCACCCCCGGAAGUGCAUUGGAAACUGGUAGGCUCGAGUCCCGGAGAGGAGGGUGGAAUUCCUGGUGUAGCGGUGAAAUGCGUAGAUAUCAGGAGGAACACCGGUGGCGAAGGCGGCCCUCUGGACGGUGACUGACGCUGAGACGCGAAAGCGUGGGGAGCAAACAGG
RNAcentral lists this ribosomal RNA (253 nucleotides) under uncultured bacterium. RNAcentral describes it as "partial 16S ribosomal RNA". It matches the Rfam family "Bacterial small subunit ribosomal RNA", at positions 524 to 776 of the family's 1533-position model. The record is from RNAcentral.